This 1436-nucleotide unclassified non-coding RNA is filed under the name Priapulus caudatus. RNAcentral describes it as "lYR motif-containing protein 9-like, transcript variant X1". The record is from RNAcentral. Lineage: Eukaryota; Metazoa; Priapulida; Priapulimorpha; Priapulimorphida; Priapulidae.
CUGUAGAUCGACAGUACCCGCUGCACUGCCCUCAGUGACUCAGCGUUGCACAUAAACAGGGAUUUGGUGGCCAUGGACUACGAACUACUAAUAGUAAUGGAACUGAUGUGAGCUAUGCCUGCCGGGACUGCUGUUAACACUGUGGUUAGGUCUCCAGUUAGUCUGUACAGACACCUUCUACGUCAGCUUAGGCAAUUACCAGAUCACGCGGGCGCACACUACAGGCACCAGCUACGACAGCAGUUCAACAGCCACAAAUAUGAGAUAGACAAGGACAGGAUAUUGCAGAUCUCACGCCGUGCGCUGGAGGAUGUGCAGUGGAUUACAAACAAGUACGGCAAGAAAUCUGAAUAAUCCCCCAACUUGCUGCAUUCCUGACAGACGAGCAACUAGUGUGCACACACCACGAGUGAUUAAGAAGCAGAUUCAUGUGAUCUGCGGCAUGUACAUUUAAUGAAAAGCUCAAACAGGGAAGCAACAAAACUGUGAAAAAAACUCAGUGUUGGUGGGUCAUGUCCAGACCAUCAACGGACCCAUGUAAGAAGUACGCAUGUGCCAUACAGCGCUGUUUGGACUCCAAGGGCUUUCAGGAGCCUGACUGCACCAGUGCGAUCGAGGCAAUGAUAAAGUGCUGUGAGAGGAACGCGGAAAAGGUAUCCGACUGCUGCUCUGGUUUCAGGCGUCCCACCGACCCGACCGUAGUGAUACCGAAAAAGAAUUACUACUCGGACAAGCUAUAGAGAUACCCUGCGUAUGCAGCGCCAUCUCUAGUCGUCUGCUGAAAAUUAGUGUUUUUUUAUAAUUCCAUUAUGAACUAUAAUUCCUUCCUGAAAACUAUUGUUAGUGUUGAGGAGGGUGAGAGGGAAUGCAGGUAAAGCCUACCUCAUUCAGUAACUUGUCGGUUGUGUGUUUCCGAAUAGGUGGUCAGAGCUUCGUAAAAUAAAAUUUAUGCUGUUUGUUUGUAGAUGACCACUCAGUGACCAACCGACGUGUUAAGGUUAGUGUGCUCGCUGUAUUGCUUAAAAACCCUGCCGUAGUUAGCGUUCGUCUGUGCGAUUAUUGUUGUGCGGUGGUUUUUAUAUCGAGUGUUAAAAUACCAUUUAGAAGUGUCAAAAAUGCCUCUAGUUAGAAGAGGUGCGCGAUGUAACAUCUAUGUCUUGUGGAACAUCUUGUUCCUGGUAUUUCUCACUGCUCUGGUCUACUGGCUGUUCUUUGCGUGGUGAACUGGGACUGAGGUUGGCUGUAUUGUGACUGACGUCGUGAGUUUUACAUGCAUUGUAGUAUGUAGCAGGUCUGUAGCAGAGCUUUAGAUACGUCUUGCGAAAUACUCUCCACGUCAUGAGGGCCCGCAUUUGUAUAGACUUUUGUAGCCCUAUGAUUUGUACUAGGAAAAGAUUGAAACCCCAACAAAUUAAAUAGAAGUUUUUCAAAUACUA